UACGUAGGGGGCAAGCGUUGUCCGGAAUCAUUGGGCGUAAAGCGCGUGUAGGCGGUCCGGUAAGUCCGCUGUGAAAGUCGGGGGCUCAACCCUCGGAUGCCGGUGGAUACUGUCGGGCUUGAGUACGGAAGAGGCGAGUGGAAUUCCUGGUGUAGCGGUGAAAUGCGUAGAGAUCAGGAGGAACACCCGUGGCGAAGGCGGCACGCUGGGCCGGCCCUGACGCUGAGGCGCGAAAGCGUGGGGAGCGAACGGG
Molecule: ribosomal RNA, 253 nt
Filed under: uncultured bacterium
Lineage: Bacteria
Description: partial 16S ribosomal RNA
Rfam family: Bacterial small subunit ribosomal RNA
Source: RNAcentral